This 99-nucleotide signal recognition particle RNA is filed under the name Alphaproteobacteria bacterium. Its description in RNAcentral is "signal recognition particle sRNA small type". It matches the Rfam family "Bacterial small signal recognition particle RNA". Rfam says of the family: The signal recognition particle (SRP) is a universally conserved ribonucleoprotein involved in the co-translational targeting of proteins to membranes. Lineage: Bacteria; Pseudomonadati; Pseudomonadota; Alphaproteobacteria. The record is from RNAcentral.
GGGAGGCCGGCGCGGACGUGCAGCUCGCCAACCCGGUCAGAUCCGAAAGGAAGCAGCCGUAACGAGAUUUGCGCGGGUCGCAUUGUCCGGUCUCCCACU